This 71-nucleotide transfer RNA is filed under the name Camelus ferus (Wild Bactrian camel). It matches the Rfam family "tRNA". Rfam says of the family: Transfer RNA (tRNA) molecules are approximately 80 nucleotides in length. Their secondary structure includes four short double-helical elements and three loops (D, anti-codon, and T loops). Further hydrogen bonds mediate the characteristic L-shaped molecular structure. tRNAs have two regions of fundamental functional importance: the anti-codon, which is responsible for specific mRNA codon recognition, and the 3' end, to which the tRNAs corresponding amino acid is attached (by aminoacyl-tRNA synthetases). tRNAs cope with the degeneracy of the genetic code in two manners: having more than one tRNA (with a specific anti-codon) for a particular amino acid; and 'wobble' base-pairing, i.e. permitting non-standard base-pairing at the 3rd anti-codon position. The record is from Rfam by way of RNAcentral. Lineage: Eukaryota; Metazoa; Chordata; Mammalia; Artiodactyla; Camelidae.
GGGGGUGCAGCUCAGCGGUACAGCACCUGCUUAGCACGCACGAGGUUCUGGGUUCCAUCCCAGUGCCUCCA